CCAGAAGAGACCCUAACCGGUCCUCUCAACCCUGCCCAUCGUACCCUUGUGUUGUUCCCCUCGGCGAGGCUUUUCGAGCCCGCCGGCGGGAAGAUCAACGAAACUCUUUGCAAGCAAGCAUCCUGAAACCUCUGAUCGAAUACAAAUUGUCA
This 152-nucleotide unclassified non-coding RNA is filed under the name soil metagenome. RNAcentral's name for it is "partial internal transcribed spacer 1". The record is from RNAcentral.